CGAACAAUUACAUCUAUCAAAACUGCAAUUUGAUGAAAUCUUGGAUCUGGAAGUUUUUCUUUCAGCUGAUAGUAAAAGAAAGGAUUCUGCAGUAGAAUCAUUAUGUAAUGUGGGUGGAAAAUCUACAAUAGAUAUUACAUACAAUGUUAUGAAAAAAGUGAUGAGUGACGAGGCUUCUAGCCACUUUAAUAAAAAAGGCAGUUCUCAGAAAAUCUCAUUUUGUGAAAAGUGUCUAAUAUUAUUUUCUGCUAUAAUUAAUGCCAUCAAAUUACAAGACAAAUCAGCGAAAGAUAGCGAUAUAACAACCGCAAUAGGAAAGUGACUACGUAUGCAUGGCACACUGUUUAAACGUCAAAUGACAGAAUAACAAUAAAAUAACAUCGUUUUGAUUAAAAAAAAAUUGAAAAUGCAGAAAA
Molecule: non-coding RNA, 416 nt
Organism: Hydra vulgaris (swiftwater hydra)
Lineage: Eukaryota; Metazoa; Cnidaria; Hydrozoa; Anthoathecata; Hydridae
Source: RefSeq, a predicted model, not a curated record